CAGACCUUGGAUCAGAUCCUACCACUUUUCCAAUCAGCUCAGGCUUGGCAGAUACAUGUAGCAAAAAGCUUGGCCAUAGAGCUGAAUUUGACACUAGGGCUAAGGCAGGUACUGAGGGAUGGGAGACCCCUGGAAUCAUCAAGCUCUGGGCAAGUUUCCAUCUGACUGCAAAGUUUGGUGCCUGAAGGGACAGCAUAUUGCAUCAGAAUCCAGCAGACAAAUUGAAGAGAUACAAACAAGCUGGCAGUGGGCUUCUGGUGUGUUCUCAAGCACAAUUGUCUGCAAGUAGGCACCAGGGCAACAGCCAUAGGCCUGAUAACUUAGGAAUCUCUUUGGGAGGGGAUUGGCAAGAGCAACCCAGGUGUUUUAGCGGAGGGACCUGGAGUAUUGGGACGAUACCUGUAACAGCAUCAACAGGACCAAAACAGGUACCAAGCAGAGCCCUGUUAUCAGACCAAGACCCAAGGCUGAGGAUGGAUCCUUAGUCAAGAUGACUCAAAGCUGGGCCCCAGAAUGUGAGGCUGAGGCUGGAGGUAGGAAGAAGUGUCUGUGAGAGGAAGAUGGGGUUCCAGUUUUGCUGAGUCCUGAGUAGUUGCAUAUGCGAGCCACGUUCUCACAUCACGACUUUGUAUGUGCUGUUCUGCAGUUCCUGUUGCUCUCUGGCCCUCUUCUCUCCCUCCUCGACCCAUCUCACACACCGGCAUUCUCUUGGCCUGGCUAAUCUCUACUGAUCCUUUAAACAAGGAACUUCCAAGGGAUAUUAGAAUAGAGCCGUGGAAUCGGGACAAAGUGCUGCACGGAGGGGCCUUGCCCAAGGCUACGCAGCUGGUGGAUGGGGAAAUCAGGCGCUUGCCAGCCGCCUCGCAGGCAGCUUUCCCUCUGAGGGAAGGUGGUGCCUCCGGCCUCUGAGGAGGUAGCUGGGACAGCCUGAAAUGAGCUGCUGAAAGCCUGAAGCUCCAGAAAGACAAAAAACAAGCAACACACAGUGAUGUGGGUGUCACUCGCUGAGGAUGUGCGAUAACACACACACUGCCCGGGUUGAAGUGAAAUGAAUAAUGCCAAUAACAUUGUGAGGGAAUGCUUCAGUGCCUGAAGUGUACAGUGCACGAAUGGUUCCCAAGAUUUGUCAUAUUUUAAUGCUAUUGCCUUAUGUUUGUUCGGUGCUUUCCAGUUUUGAAAGUGCUUUCCACAUGUUUAAUCAUUUGCUCACAAUAAUUCUUCAAAGCGAAUAGGUAGAUAUGGGCGGAAUGACAGCUCCCCCUUCCCAAAUUCAUGUGUUGAAACUCUAAGCCCCAGUACUUCAGAAUGUGAUUGUAUUGGUGUGUCGGGAAUUGGUUGGUUCCUUUCAGUGGGUUCUUGGUCUCACUGACUUCAAGAAUUAAGCUGCGAAUGCUCACGGUAUUAAAGUUCUUAAAGAUGGUGUGUCCCGAGUUUGUUCCUUCA
Molecule: long non-coding RNA, 1443 nt
Filed under: Rhinopithecus bieti (black snub-nosed monkey)
Lineage: Eukaryota; Metazoa; Chordata; Mammalia; Primates; Cercopithecidae
Description: lncRNA (ENSRBIG00000046034.1)
Source: RNAcentral